This 663-nucleotide ribosomal RNA is filed under the name Vibrio sp. SPR5183. Its description in RNAcentral is "bacterial SSU rRNA". It matches the Rfam family "Bacterial small subunit ribosomal RNA", at positions 59 to 711 of the family's 1533-position model. The record is from RNAcentral. Lineage: Bacteria; Pseudomonadati; Pseudomonadota; Gammaproteobacteria; Vibrionales; Vibrionaceae.
AAGUCGAGCGGUAACAGGAAUUAGCUUGCUAAUUCGCUGACGAGCGGCGGACGGGUGAGUAAUGCCUGGGAAUAUGCCUUGAUGUGGGGGAUAACUAUUGGAAACGAUAGCUAAUACCGCAUAAUGUCUUCGGACCAAAGAGGGGGAUCUUCGGACCUCUCGCGUCAAGAUUAGCCCAGGUGAGAUUAGCUAGUUGGUGGGGUAAGAGCUCACCAAGGCGACGAUCUCUAGCUGGUCUGAGAGGAUGAUCAGCCACACUGGAACUGAGACACGGUCCAGACUCCUACGGGAGGCAGCAGUGGGGAAUAUUGCACAAUGGGCGAAAGCCUGAUGCAGCCAUGCCGCGUGUAUGAAGAAGGCCUUCGGGUUGUAAAGUACUUUCAGUCGUGAGGAAGGGUGUGUAGUUAAUAGCUGCAUAUCUUGACGUUAGCGACAGAAGAAGCACCGGCUAACUCCGUGCCAGCAGCCGCGGUAAUACGGAGGGUGCGAGCGUUAAUCGGAAUUACUGGGCGUAAAGCGCAUGCAGGUGGUUCAUUAAGUCAGAUGUGAAAGCCCGGGGCUCAACCUCGGAACCGCAUUUGAAACUGGUGAACUAGAGUGCUGUAGAGGGGGGUAGAAUUUCAGGUGUAGCGGUGAAAUGCGUAGAGAUCUGAAGGAAUACCA